RNAcentral lists this transfer RNA (77 nucleotides) under Ruminiclostridium hungatei. RNAcentral describes it as "tRNA-Pro". It matches the Rfam family "tRNA". Rfam says of the family: Transfer RNA (tRNA) molecules are approximately 80 nucleotides in length. Their secondary structure includes four short double-helical elements and three loops (D, anti-codon, and T loops). Lineage: Bacteria; Bacillati; Bacillota; Clostridia; Eubacteriales; Oscillospiraceae. The record is from RNAcentral.
CGGGAAUUAGCGCAGUUUGGUAGCGCGCUUGGUUCGGGACCAAGAGGCCGGGAGUUCGAAUCUCCCAUUUCCGACCA